This 79-nucleotide transfer RNA is filed under the name Fucus distichus. Its description in RNAcentral is "tRNA-Lys". It matches the Rfam family "tRNA". From Rfam's summary of the family: Transfer RNA (tRNA) molecules are approximately 80 nucleotides in length. Their secondary structure includes four short double-helical elements and three loops (D, anti-codon, and T loops). Further hydrogen bonds mediate the characteristic L-shaped molecular structure. tRNAs have two regions of fundamental functional importance: the anti-codon, which is responsible for specific mRNA codon recognition, and the 3' end, to which the tRNAs corresponding amino acid is attached (by aminoacyl-tRNA synthetases). tRNAs cope with the degeneracy of the genetic code in two manners: having more than one tRNA (with a specific anti-codon) for a particular amino acid; and 'wobble' base-pairing, i.e. permitting non-standard base-pairing at the 3rd anti-codon position. Lineage: Eukaryota; Phaeophyceae; Fucales; Fucaceae. The record is from RNAcentral. RNAcentral also lists the same sequence under 1 other name.
GGGUGUAUAACUCAGUUGGUUAGAGUGGUGGACUUUUAAUCCGAAGGUCUUGGGUUCAAGUCCCAAUACGCCUACAUUU